AAACUUGUCCACACCUUUUGGU
RNAcentral lists this non-coding RNA (22 nucleotides) under Arabidopsis thaliana (thale cress). Lineage: Eukaryota; Viridiplantae; Streptophyta; Magnoliopsida; Brassicales; Brassicaceae. The record is from RNAcentral.